This is a long non-coding RNA of Paramacrobiotus metropolitanus, 964 nucleotides long. RefSeq lists it as uncharacterized. The transcript is spliced from 3 exons. NCBI's taxonomy places the organism in Eukaryota, Metazoa, Tardigrada, Eutardigrada, Parachela, Macrobiotidae. The record is from RefSeq and is a predicted model, not a curated record.
AACGCCAUAAUGGAUUUCUAACUGUAAGCGUAUGCCAGGCAGUGUCAAUAAGCAGCGCAUUUACAACGUGAACGAUAAAAUUAUGUAUAAAUACAGUACAAUCCAUGAACCGUACUGUAAUCGGAAAACUAAAGUGUGUUGUUUUGGAUUAUGUAGCAAUAUUAUUUGUUAUACCGCGCACUGCAAGUUUUUGACGUGCAAUUUUUUGACGGUUUAGUAUCGAAUCACCCAACUGUUCGUAUGCAAGAUUUUUAUUUUUCUGCAUUAGUUUUUUUAUGCCCAGCUAGUUAUCGGAUUACUACUGUAGCAAAAUGACAAGCCCACGAGUCGUCGUUAUUGUGGUCGGCUUACUCCUAUUCGUUUCAAUGGUUGUGCAAGCUUUUGGUGAGAAAUUGGAGGAACUUACAGCGGACGAGAAAGGGCGAUUGAAAAGCAUUAUACUAAGGGAAGGACAGACACUCGUCAUAUCAUGUCCUGAUCGCAAAGCACUGCGUAUAAAAACCGCACAGUAUCGUAUUACUAAUCCGAAAGUGUGUGGAAAAGGGAUUUCGACAUGCCGCAACGCCUGCCCCGGAUCCUUUCAAACGGAAGCUCUGGCACAGAAAUGUGAUUUUAAAUCCCGCUGUCGCCUGAAAGCCCGUAAGCGACGAGAUCAGUGCGCCUCUGGCCAUGUGGAACCGCUGGCUCUUCUGUAUACUUGCAACAAUUGGAGACAGAUUUGGGAACAACGCAAGCCAGAUGUUCAUUACAUGAGAGUAUUGCAAAGUGGCAUAUGCAACUUUAGAAAAUUCCUAAAAUUCUGCAACUUUUAAGUUUUUAUAUGUGUACAUUGGGGUUUUAAACUGUGGUUUGUGCGAUUAUGUAUUUAUUGAGUCAUUGACCAGUUCAGAAAAUUGUGUUUUUUGAAACGUUUUAAAAAGAGGAUUGCUUUUACAAUAUUUAUAUACUACUGCAUAAAGACGGU